RNAcentral lists this ribosomal RNA (379 nucleotides) under uncultured bacterium. Its description in RNAcentral is "bacterial SSU rRNA". It matches the Rfam family "Bacterial small subunit ribosomal RNA", at positions 28 to 407 of the family's 1533-position model. The record is from RNAcentral.
GACGAACGCUGGCGGCGUGCUUAACACAUGCAAGUCGAGCGGUAAGGCCCUUUCGGGGGUACGACGAGCGGCGAACGGGUGAGUAACACGUGGGUGACCUGCCCUUAGCUCUGGGAUAAGCCUGGGAAACUGGGUCUAAUACCGGAUAUGACUCCAUGACGCAUGUUGUGGGGUGGAAAGCCUUGUGCGGCUAGGGAUGGGCCCGCGGCCUAUCAGCUUGUUGGUGGGGUGAUGGCCACCAAGGCGACGACGGGUAGCCGGCCUGAGAGGGCGACCGGCCACACUGGGACUGAGACACGGCCCAGACUCCUACGGGAGGGCAGCAGUGGGGAAUCUUGCGCAAUGGGCGAAAGCCUGACGCAGCGACGCCGCGUGGGGA